RNAcentral lists this unclassified non-coding RNA (1058 nucleotides) under Hevea brasiliensis (rubber tree). Lineage: Eukaryota; Viridiplantae; Streptophyta; Magnoliopsida; Malpighiales; Euphorbiaceae. The record is from RNAcentral.
CAACAGCUUCACAGAAGCAGCUAUGGAUGUUUUUGAGUUCAAACCAGAGGACGAGCAGCCUUCGGAAAACGAGGCGAAUAGGUUUUGCAACAACUAUACAAUCACUGAAAAUGGUGCGCUAGGAACAAAUAUGAACUCGAAGGGGACUGGUGAUGAACCAUCUGAAGAUAUUGAAGCAGCUGACAGUGAUUUUAAUGGUAACCAUGCUCUCUCAAGUCUGGAUGCAGAAGGUUGUGGUGAUGAGAGAAUGCUGAGGUUGGGCAGCACGCCAAAUAUUACUUCAACAAACAAAAGACGAUUUCCUGAUAGAGAACCUAACAAUCACGUAGGUGGAAGUUUCUUGGAAGGCAGUUCAUAUAGAGGGACAGAUUGUCAAGAGAUUUUCUCUGGACCUCAUUCCAAUGAUGAAUCAGUAGGUGCAGUUUCUGAUGAAAGCCCAAGUGAGGAAUCGGCAUCCUACUCAUCUGCUACUCCAGAAAAUCAUGACAUCUUAGAUGGACCAUUAUCAAAUCACCACUUUGACCACUGGGGAAUGUUUGAAAACAGCUCGAUUGUUUUCUGUCCCGAUUAUCUCUAUUAUCAAGGAACAUCCUACGUAGUGACAGAUACUACAGUAACCUUUUCCAGUAAUUGUGUGGAGGUCAAAGGCUCAACAAUGAACGAGGAUUCGGGAGCUUUUUACGUUCGCUUUGAAGUUGAAGACAUAUUCCAAAUUCAAGCACGUUUGUCAGGAAGGUUUGACGUAGCUGUGUUUAUGAUCCAUGUUAAUAAAAGACCAACAGCACAAGGUGAAAAUGCUCAAGAGACUUCUGGUAUUGAGGAGGUGGAGUUUGCUGUUAAUGAUUUUGACUUGUCUGAGAAGUGUGAAGCAAUUCAAUCUUUGGAUGUCUACAAGGCAGUAUGGAACUACCACAGUGAGAAUGAAGAAUGGAGAGAGAAUUCACAAGGGGAAACAUCAAAUCAGCUACCUAAGAAAUAUUUUCCAAGUUACACUGAGCCGCUUGAAGAAGUUAUUUAUCCUAAAGGGGAUCCUGAUGCUAUUUGCAUUAGUAAGAGGG